Non-coding RNA from Sapajus apella (tufted capuchin), 919 nucleotides. Lineage: Eukaryota; Metazoa; Chordata; Mammalia; Primates; Cebidae. The record is from the annotation of a RefSeq genome assembly.
UUCCUUGGAUCCGUGGUUUCGCCUGUGGCCUCCAGGGGGCGACGUUGCACUAAGGAGGCAUUUAUGUUUACUGCAGACCAUUCUCAUCCACUGAGCCUCCCUCCUGCAGCUGGCUGAUGCAGCUCACUGCUGUCUGUGUAGAUACGGAGCUGUGACGAGAACAAGAGGCCAGAAAGCAUCCAGGCUCUUUAAGAGAAAACCUUUCUUUAACCGUUUUCGAAACUUUUCAAAGUCAGGGACUUGUCCAGUCCAACCUCCCCACUGCUCCUAGCUCCCGAGGCUCAGUGCUCUUGGCUUCUGUCCGCUCUGCUGAGGGUCCUGCAGCGUUGCUACUGCUCAGCCAUGCUCCUGCUGCUCGUCCCAGUGCUCGCGGUGAUUUUUGUCCUGGGAGGAACCAGAGCCCAGUCUGUGACCCAGCUUGACGGCCAGGUCACUGUCUCUGAAGGAGCCCCUGUGCUGCUGAAGUGCAACUAUUCGUCGUCUGUUUCAGUGUAUCCCUUCUGGUACGUGCGAUACCCCAACCAAGGACUCCAGUUUCUCCUGAAGUAUGUAUCAGGACCCACCCUGGUUAAAGGCAUCAAAGGUUUUGAGGCUGAAAUGAAGAAGAGUGAAAGCUCUUUCCACCUGAAGAAAUCCCCAGCCCAUGUGAGCGAUGCAGCCGAGUACUUCUGUGCUGUGAGUGACACAGUGCCUGAGACUGCAGGGGAGCUGAACACAAACCUCCUGAGAUACUGAGACUUUCUGUGACUCAAGAACUCAACCUUGAAGUCUGUUUUAUAAUGUUAAAUAGCCACUCAAAGUUUCUGAUGCUUACUGAUGUAUGCUGUAUCUUUUUCAACUAUUUAGUUUUAAACUAUGACUUUAAAGUGUGUUUCUGCAUUGUGAAGUUUAGAUAAUUAAAAUUGAAUAUAAAUAUCAA